Non-coding RNA from Oryctolagus cuniculus (rabbit), 106 nucleotides. The record is from RefSeq and is a predicted model, not a curated record. NCBI's taxonomy places the organism in Eukaryota, Metazoa, Chordata, Mammalia, Lagomorpha, Leporidae.
GCCUUCUUCAGCAGCACUUAUACUAAAAUUGGAAGGAUCUAGAGAAGGUUAGCAUAGCUCCUGCACAAGGAUGGCAAUCUAUGCUGGAGAAUGUUCCAUGAACUGU